UACGUAGGGGGCAAGCGUUGUCCGGAAUCAUUGGGCGUAAAGAGCGUGUAGGCGGCUUGGUAAGUCCGCUGUGAAAGUCCAGGGCUCAACCCUGGAAAGCCGGUGGAAACUGUCAAGCUUGAGUCCGGAAGAGGCGAGUGGAAUUCCUGGUGUAGCGGUGAAAUGCGCAGAUAUCAGGAGGAACACCGGUGGCGAAGGCGGGUCUCUGGGCCGAUACUGACGCUGAGGAGCGAAAGCGUGGGGAGCGAACCGG
RNAcentral lists this ribosomal RNA (253 nucleotides) under uncultured bacterium. RNAcentral's name for it is "partial 16S ribosomal RNA". It matches the Rfam family "Bacterial small subunit ribosomal RNA", at positions 524 to 776 of the family's 1533-position model. The record is from RNAcentral.